This 393-nucleotide ribosomal RNA is filed under the name uncultured bacterium. RNAcentral describes it as "partial 16S ribosomal RNA". It matches the Rfam family "Bacterial small subunit ribosomal RNA", at positions 523 to 918 of the family's 1533-position model. The record is from RNAcentral.
AUACGGAGGGUGCAAGCGUUAUCCGGAUUUAUUGGGUUUAAAGGGUGCGUAGGCGGUUUGAUAAGUCAGCGGUGAAAUAUUUCAGCUUAACUGGAAGGGUGCCGUUGAUACUGUCGAGCUUGAAUUUAGUUGCUGUGGGUGGAAUGUGUGGUGUAGCGGUGAAAUGCAUAGAUAUCACACAGAAUAUCGAUUGCGAAGGCAGCUCACAAAGCUAAUAUUGACGCUGAUGCACGAAAGUGUGGGGAUCAAACAGGAUUAGAUACCCUGGUAGACCACACUGUAAACGAUGAUAACUCGCUGUCGGCGAUACAUAGUCGGUGGCCAAGCGAAAGCGAUAAGUUAUCCACCUGGGGAGUACGACCGCAAGGUUGAAACUCAAAUGAAUUGGCGGGG